RNAcentral lists this ribosomal RNA (516 nucleotides) under bacterium. RNAcentral's name for it is "bacterial SSU rRNA". It matches the Rfam family "Bacterial small subunit ribosomal RNA", at positions 922 to 1439 of the family's 1533-position model. The record is from RNAcentral.
CGCCCCACAAGCGAGGAACAUGUUUAUUUUUCGAAGCAACGAGAAGCACCUCACGUUGUCUCCACAUAGGGACGCCCGUUAAAGAGAUUCUUCUUUUUUUGAGGCCAUAAACCACAGGUGGCGCAUGGUUGUCAUCAGCUCGUGUCGAGAGAUGGGGGGAUAUCUCCCACAAAGAGCACCCCCUUUAUUAUUAGUCCCCAUCUUUCGGUGGGACUCAUGAGAGGCUGCCGCAGACAAAGCGGAGGAAGGGGGGGAAGACGUCAAAUCAUCAUGCCCCUUAUGACCUGGGGUACCCACGUAGUACAAUGGGAGGUAAUAGAGGGAAGCGAGAUGGCGAGAGCGAGCAAAUCUGAGAAACACUGUCUCAGUUCGGAUCGUAGGCUGCAACUCGCCUACGUGAAGUCGGAAUCGCUAGUAAUCGCAGGUCAGCAUACUGCGGUGAAUACGUUCCCGGGCCUUGUACACACCGCCCGUCACACCACGAAAGUCGGAAGCGCCCAAAGCCGGUGGGGUAAC